Equus asinus (donkey) is the source of this 1634-nucleotide long non-coding RNA. Lineage: Eukaryota; Metazoa; Chordata; Mammalia; Perissodactyla; Equidae. The record is from Ensembl.
CUGAGAAACAAGCCUCCUUUGACCGACUGUUGGUGAGCAACCACUGAAGCAGGAUUCUUUACAGCACCUCUGGCGCAAUCCUCACAGACUGGAGACCAGCCUCCACGCAGGACCUGCCGACACACUUCGUUACGCUCUGCACAGCAAAGCACAUACGCAGUAAAGUGCGCAAGUCUUGAGGAAACAUCUUGAUGGCUUUAUAAACCCAUCAACACAGUGUUUUAAAAGAGAUAAUCAGCAAGGCUCCUUGGAUAAGGUUAUUAUAUUCAAGUCUUGCCAAAAAAUGUAAGAAAAAAAACUCCAAUUUGAUGGGAUCCAGAGGAACAAUUAUGCUUUCUAAAAAUAAGAUGAGCCGAAGCUAAGGAAAUGAAAACGUUUCUAAAGAAGAAGGUCAGGACUUCUUUUGUGGCCUCCUUUCAUCGCUGGGUUAUUCACUGUAAUAGUAGCCUGCCAUUUCAAACUAUGACUCAGGGGCCUGGUCAUGGGUUACAGAGCAUUUCAUCUGUGGUCACCCCACCUGCCCACGAGAAAUUGAUGGUUAGCGACUACGGAGCAGGUUACUCACUGAAUAUUAUUCUCCACCGUAACCUCCUGACCCUUGCCUCAUCGAAAAGAUUGGUGCUAUUCUGCUUUUACCUACAGAGAAAGAGCAAGGAGGAGAUAAAAUAGGACCUUGAUAUUCGGGGUUGUGGCUCAUUUCUGAAGGUCGGACAUGAAAAGCUGUUUCGAAUUUUGCCCCAUUCGUUCUUAAAACCGCAGCCCAGGAAUUUAUAAGCAUAGCUGCCCUUUAUCUCUCCCAAGAAUGAAAUUGCUUUCUCCAAUAGAGUUUAAAGGGAUGAAUUAAUUGGUGUUUUUGGCAGGAGUACUCUAUAAUUGCAAAGUACUCUGAGUAUCACCAUAUAGUUUUUUCCUUAGAUGGUCCAUUAGGAGGAACUAUGGCAUUCCCAAAGCUAUUCUUUAAUUAGGUCAGCAGCAUCUGCCAAGAAUCCGCUCUCCUCUCAGACCAGGUUUAAUCACAGUGACAAGUGACUUUCAAGUUUAUACCCACACACUCUUAGAUUUCUGAUUUGCCCUAGAAGAAGGUUCUGAUCACAGUGUUCUGAGCGCUGGCCCCUGGGCCUGACUUCCCUGUCUGUCUGGAUUUGGGAUUUUUGGCCUGCCCUUACCUUGUGACUUGCCCCCCUGGAUUGCUGACCCAUUCUUGACCUCUGACAACAGCACGCUCCUUAACAUCUGUUCUACCUGCAUAGAGCCUGGUCUUCCGCCCGAUUCUUAAUUCUGAUUAUUAGGCUCCUGGACCAGGCCAAUUCUCACAGCCUAAGGAGGAUGAAGAUGUCCUUAGACUAAAAUGGCCAAGACCAGAGCUCAUGAAUGACAAGGACAAACAACCCAAGGACUCAGUGAUCAUACAAAUGUCCAAAUGGGGGGCACAUGAAUUGCUGUAAGGCCUUAGAUUUCACAUAUUAUAUAUAUGAGGUUCAUAUAUUACAGUUAGUUACAGGACACUAAUGAGAGACAGACUUUUCAAACCUAGGUCACAGAACACUGAGCAUAGCCCUCAAAAUGCACCCUGGAUCACACAGCAAAAGAUACGCAGUCACGGAAUUGCUGCUGGGCCAAUGUGUCAAUCACGC